GCAGGUGUGGUGGAAUGGUAGACACGUUAGUUUUAGGAACUAAUGGAGAAAUCCGUGAAGGUUCGAGUCCUUUCACCUGUA
Molecule: transfer RNA, 81 nt
Filed under: Crassvirales sp.
Lineage: Duplodnaviria; Heunggongvirae; Uroviricota; Caudoviricetes; Crassvirales
Description: tRNA-Leu
Rfam family: tRNA
About the family: Transfer RNA (tRNA) molecules are approximately 80 nucleotides in length. Their secondary structure includes four short double-helical elements and three loops (D, anti-codon, and T loops). Further hydrogen bonds mediate the characteristic L-shaped molecular structure. tRNAs have two regions of fundamental functional importance: the anti-codon, which is responsible for specific mRNA codon recognition, and the 3' end, to which the tRNAs corresponding amino acid is attached (by aminoacyl-tRNA synthetases). tRNAs cope with the degeneracy of the genetic code in two manners: having more than one tRNA (with a specific anti-codon) for a particular amino acid; and 'wobble' base-pairing, i.e. permitting non-standard base-pairing at the 3rd anti-codon position.
Source: RNAcentral